UACGUAGGGUGCGAGCGUUGUCCGGAAUUAUUGGGCGUAAAGAGCUCGUAGGCGGUUUGUCGCGUCGGCCGUGAAAACUUGGGGCUUAACUCCAAGCUUGCGGUCGAUACGGGCAGACUUGAGUUCGGCAGGGGAGACUGGAAUUCCUGGUGUAGCGGUGAAAUGCGCAGAUAUCAGGAGGAACACCGGUGGCGAAGGCGGGUCUCUGGGCCGAUACUGACGCUGAGGAG
This 230-nucleotide ribosomal RNA is filed under the name uncultured microorganism. Its description in RNAcentral is "partial 16S ribosomal RNA". It matches the Rfam family "Bacterial small subunit ribosomal RNA", at positions 524 to 753 of the family's 1533-position model. The record is from RNAcentral.